UAAUACGGAGGGUGCAAGCGUUACUCGGAAUCACUGGGCGUAAAGGGCGCGUAGGCGGGAUCGUGGGUCGGCCGUGAAAUCCACCGGCUCAACCGGUGAACUGCGGUCGAAACUACGAUUCUUGAGUUCGGUAGAGGAAUGCGGAAUUCCUGGUGUAGCGGUGGAAUGCGUAGAUAUCAGGAAGAACACCGGUAGCGAAGGCGGCAUUCUGGGCCGUAUCUGACGCUGAGGCGCGAAAGCCGGGGGAGCGAACAGGAUUAGAUACCCUGGUAGUCCCGGCCGUAAACGAUGGGUACUAGGUGUAGGGGGUACUGACCCCCUCUGUGCCGCAGUUAACGCAUUAAGUACCCCGCCUGGGGAGUACGCACGCAAGUGUG
This 377-nucleotide ribosomal RNA is filed under the name uncultured Candidatus Latescibacter sp. RNAcentral's name for it is "bacterial SSU rRNA". It matches the Rfam family "Bacterial small subunit ribosomal RNA", at positions 521 to 896 of the family's 1533-position model. Lineage: Bacteria; Pseudomonadati; Candidatus Latescibacterota; Candidatus Latescibacteria (ex Chuvochina et al. 2023); Candidatus Latescibacterales; Candidatus Latescibacteraceae. The record is from RNAcentral.